RNAcentral lists this ribosomal RNA (633 nucleotides) under uncultured bacterium. Its description in RNAcentral is "bacterial SSU rRNA". It matches the Rfam family "Bacterial small subunit ribosomal RNA", at positions 42 to 678 of the family's 1533-position model. The record is from RNAcentral.
UCGAACGAAGCACAUACGGCGGAACUUUUCGGAGGGAAUAUGUAUGUGACUGAGUGGCGGACGGGUGAGUAACGCGUGGGUAACCUGCCCCAUAGAGGGGGACAACAGUUGGAAACGACUGCUAAUACCGCAUAAGAAAGAAUUGCCGCAUGGCAGUUUUUUGAAAGAUUUAUCGCUAUGGGAUGGACCCGCGUCUGAUUAGCUAGUUGGGAGGGUAACGGCCUACCAAGGCAACGAUCAGUAGCCGGCUUGAGAGAGUGAACGGCCACAUUGGGACUGAGACACGGCCCAGACUCCUACGGGAGGCAGCAGUGGGGAAUAUUGCACAAUGGGGGAAACCCUGAUGCAGCGACGCCGCGUGAGUGAAGAAGUAUUUCGGUAUGUAAAGCUCUAUCUGCAGGGAACAAACCCACCCUCCGGGGUGGCUGACAGUACCUGACUAAGAAGCCCCGGCUAACUACGUGCCAGCAGCCGCGGUAAUACGUAGGGGGCAAGCGUUAUCCGGAUUUACUGGGUGUAAAGGGAGCGUAGGUGGCAAGGCAAGUCAGAUGUGAAAACCCGGGGCCCAACCCCGGGAGUGCCCCCCCCCUGUCUGCUAGAGUGCAGGAGAGGUACCCCGAAUUCCUAGUGUAG